This 694-nucleotide ribosomal RNA is filed under the name uncultured bacterium. RNAcentral describes it as "bacterial SSU rRNA". It matches the Rfam family "Bacterial small subunit ribosomal RNA", at positions 32 to 715 of the family's 1533-position model. The record is from RNAcentral.
AACGCUAGCUACAGGCUUAACACAUGCAAGUCGAGGGGCAGCAUUCCAGUUUGCUUGCAAACUGGAGAUGGCGACCGGCGCACGGGUGAGUAACACGUAUCCAACCUGCCGAUAACUCGGGGAUAGCCUUUCGAAAGAAAGAUUAAUACCCGAUGGCAUAAUAGAACCGCAUGGUUUGAUUAUUAAAGAAUUUCGGUUAUCGAUGGGGAUGCGUUCCAUUAGGCAGUUGGUGGGGUAACGGCCCACCAAACCUACGAUGGAUAGGGGUUCUGAGAGGAAGGUCCCCCACAUUGGAACUGAGACACGGUCCAAACUCCUACGGGAGGCAGCAGUGAGGAAUAUGGUCAAUGGGCGAUAGCCUGAACCAGCCAAGUAGCGUGAAGGAUGACUGCCCUAUGGGUUGUAAACUUCUUUUAUAAGGGAAUAAAGUGGAGUUUGUAUACUCUUUUGUAUGUACCUUAUGAAUAAGGAUCGGCUAACUCCGUGCCAGCAGCCGCGGUAAUACGGAGGAUCCGAGCGUUAUCCGGAUUUAUUGGGUUUAAAGGGAGCGUAGGCGGAUGUUUAAGUCAGUUGUGAAAGUUUGCGGCUCAACCGUAAAAUUGCAGUUGAUACUGGAUAUCUUGAGUGCAGUUGAGGCAGGCGGAAUUCGUGGUGUAGCGGUGAAAUGCUUAGAUAUCACGAAGAACUCCGAUUG